CCGAGAGGCGUAGGCGAUGGACAACCGGUUGAUAUUCCGGUACCCGCUUUGAAACGCCCAGUACUGAAUCAGGCGAUGCUAAGUCCGUGAAGCCGGCCCGAUCUCUUCGGAGUUGAGGGUAGUGGUGGAGCCGAUGAACCAGACUUGUAGUAGGUAAGCGAUGGGGUGACGCAGGAAGGUAGUCCAGCCCGGGCGGUGGUUGUCCCGGGGUAAGCGUGUAGGGCGGGGUCUAGGCAAAUCCGGACCCCACAAAGCCUGAGACGUGAUGCCGAGCCAUACCAGGCGAAGUCACUGAUCCCAUGCUGCCAAGAAAAGCCUCUAGCGAGCUGACACGGUGCCCGUACCCCAAACCGACACAGG
Molecule: ribosomal RNA, 360 nt
Filed under: uncultured Actinomycetes bacterium
Lineage: Bacteria; Bacillati; Actinomycetota; Actinomycetes
Description: bacterial LSU rRNA
Rfam family: Bacterial large subunit ribosomal RNA
Source: RNAcentral